UGAACGCUGGCGGCGUGCCUACUACAUGCAAGUCGAGCGAACAGACGCGGAGCUUGCUCCUCUGACGUUAGCGGCGGACGGGUGAGUAACACGUGGAUAACCUACCUAUAAGACUGGGAUAACUUCGGGAAACCGGAGCUAAUACCGGAUAAUAUAUUGAACCGCAUGGUUCCAUAGUGAAAGACGGUUUUGCUGUCACUUAUAGAUGGAUCCGCGCCGCAUUAGCUAGUUGGUAAGGUAACGGCUUACCAAGGCAACGAUGCGUAGCCGACCUGAGAGGGUGAUCGGCCACACUGGAACUGAGACACGGUCCAGACUCCUACGGGAGGCAGCAGUAGGGAAUCUUCCGCAAUGGGCGAAAGCCUGACGGAGCAACGCCGCGUGAGUGAUGAAGGUCUUCGGAUCGUAAAACUCUGUUAUUAGGGAAGAACAAAUGUGUAAGUAACUAUGCACGUCUUGACGGUACCUAAUCAGAAAGCCACGGCUAACUACGUG
This 495-nucleotide ribosomal RNA is filed under the name uncultured bacterium. RNAcentral describes it as "partial 16S ribosomal RNA". It matches the Rfam family "Bacterial small subunit ribosomal RNA", at positions 30 to 507 of the family's 1533-position model. The record is from RNAcentral.